CUGCUCAUCAAAAACAUAAUUAAGAAAAGGAUGAUAUGCAAUGGCUGCAAACAGCAGCCUCCUCAAUAGUGUAUACAACCUGUUGCUUGCAUAGACUGCCCUAAGAGACCCUAGAGACCAUG
Molecule: small nucleolar RNA, 122 nt
Organism: Bos taurus (domestic cattle)
Lineage: Eukaryota; Metazoa; Chordata; Mammalia; Artiodactyla; Bovidae
Gene: SNORA70
Rfam family: Small nucleolar RNA SNORA70
About the family: snoRNA U70 seems to be exclusive to mammals and is a member of the H/ACA class of snoRNA which contain H (ANANNA) and ACA box motifs. H/ACA box snoRNAs are involved in the conversion of uridines to pseudouridines (5-ribosyluracil) a constituent of structural RNAs (transfer, ribosomal, small nuclear, and small nucleolar).
Source: Ensembl